UUCUAUGGAGAGUUUGAUCCUGGCUCAGGACGAACGCUGGCGGCGUGCUUAACACAUGCAAGUCGAGCGAUGAAGUUCCUUCGGGAAUGGAAUAGCGGCGAACGGGUGAGGAACACGUGAGGAAUCUACCUUCUACUCUGGGAUAACUCCGGGAAACCGGGGCUAAUACCGGA
This 173-nucleotide ribosomal RNA is filed under the name Actinomycetota bacterium. RNAcentral's name for it is "Actinobacteria bacterium partial 16S ribosomal RNA". It matches the Rfam family "Bacterial small subunit ribosomal RNA", at positions 1 to 173 of the family's 1533-position model. Lineage: Bacteria; Bacillati; Actinomycetota. The record is from RNAcentral.